GGACUACACGGGUUUCUAAUCCUGUUUGCUCCCCACGCUUUCGCGUCUCAGCGUCAGUAAUCUUCCAGGUGGCCGCCUUCGCCACAGGUGUUCCUCCCGAUAUCUACGAAUUUCACCUCUACACCGGGAAUUCCGCCACCCCCUCCGAUACUCAAGCUUAGCAGUAUCGGACGCAGUUCCUUGGUUAAGCCAAGGGAUUUCACGUCCGACUUAUUAAGCCGCCUACACGCGCUUUACGCCCAGUAAUUCCGAACAACGCUUGCACCCUCUGUAUUACCGCGGCUGCUGGCAC
RNAcentral lists this ribosomal RNA (292 nucleotides) under uncultured bacterium. RNAcentral's name for it is "partial 16S ribosomal RNA". The record is from RNAcentral.